Molecule: ribosomal RNA, 758 nt
Filed under: Myrmecocystis cerebriformis
Lineage: Eukaryota; Fungi; Ascomycota; Pezizomycetes; Pezizales; Pyronemataceae
Description: LSU rRNA
Rfam family: Eukaryotic large subunit ribosomal RNA
Source: RNAcentral
AACUGCGAGUGAAGCGGCACAAGCUCAAAUUUGAAAUCUGGCGUCUUUGGCGUCCGACUUGUAAUUUGGAGAGGCAUCUUUGGAGAUGGCGUUGUCCCAAAUUCCUUGGAACAGGAUGUCGCAGAGGGUGAGAAUCCCGUAUCUGGACGGCUGUCCAUCUCCAUUAUGGGGUGUCUUCGACGAGUCGAGUUGUUUGGGAAUGCAGCUCAAAAUGGGUGGUAAAUGUCAUCUAAAGCUAAAUAUUGGCGAGAGACCGAUAGCGCACAAGUAGAGUGAUCGAAAGAUGAAAAGCACUUUGAAAAGAGAGUCAAAAAGUACGUGAAAUUGCUGAAAGGGAAGCGCUUGAGACCAGACUCAACUCCUUGAUGUCAACCCGGGCUUCUGUCUGGGGAAUUAUGUCUUGGAUUGAGCCAGCAUCGGUUUUGGGGGUGGGAUAAAAGAAAAGGGAAUGUAGCUUCCUCACGGGAGUGUUCUUCAGCCCUGGUCAUAAUGCCACCACYCAGGACCGAGGACCGCGCUUUGGCUAGGAUGCUGGCGUAAUGGUCUUAAGCGACCCGUCUUGAAACACGGACCAAGGAGUCUAACAUCUAUGCGAGUGUUCGGGUGGAAAACCCUUGCGCGCAAUGAAAGUGAACGGAGGUGGGAACCCGUGAGGGUGCACCAUCGACCGAUCCUGGUGUCUUCGGAAGGAUUUGAGUAAGAGCAUAGCUGUUGGGACCCGAAAGAUGGUGAACUAUGCCUGAAUAGGGUGAAGCCAG